CGGGGCGUGGCGCAGCCUGGUAGCGCGACAGCUUUGGGAGCUGUAAGUCGUGGGUUCGAAUCCCACCACCCCGACCA
RNAcentral lists this transfer RNA (77 nucleotides) under Verrucomicrobiota bacterium. Its description in RNAcentral is "Verrucomicrobia bacterium (microbial mat metagenome) tRNA-Pro". It matches the Rfam family "tRNA". Rfam says of the family: Transfer RNA (tRNA) molecules are approximately 80 nucleotides in length. Their secondary structure includes four short double-helical elements and three loops (D, anti-codon, and T loops). Lineage: Bacteria; Pseudomonadati; Verrucomicrobiota. The record is from RNAcentral.